RNAcentral lists this ribosomal RNA (425 nucleotides) under uncultured prokaryote. RNAcentral's name for it is "bacterial SSU rRNA". It matches the Rfam family "Bacterial small subunit ribosomal RNA", at positions 355 to 796 of the family's 1533-position model. The record is from RNAcentral.
UGGGGAAUUUUCCGCAAUGGGCGCAAGCCUGACGGAGCAACGCCGCGUGAGGGAGGAAGGCCUGUGGGUUGUAAACCUCUUUUUUAGGGAAGAAUAUAUGACGGUACCUAAAGAAUAAGCAUCGGCUAACUCCGUGCCAGCAGCCGCGGUAAUACGGGGGAUGCAAGCGUUAUCCGGAAUCACUGGGCGUAAAGCGUCUGCAGGUGGUUUAAUAAGUCUGCUGUUAAAUAUUAGAGCUUAACUCUGAAAAAGCAGUGGAAACUGUUGAACUAGAGUAUGGUAUGGGUAGAGGGAAUUCCCAGUGUAGCGGUGAAAUGCGUAGAUAUUGGGAAGAACACCAGUGGCGAAAGCGCUCUGCUAGGCCAUUACUGACACUCAGAGACGAAAGCUAGGGGAGCAAAUGGGAUUAGAUACCCCCGUAGUCC